RNAcentral lists this signal recognition particle RNA (262 nucleotides) under Staphylococcus epidermidis. RNAcentral describes it as "partial signal recognition particle sRNA large type". It matches the Rfam family "Bacterial large signal recognition particle RNA". Rfam says of the family: The signal recognition particle (SRP) is a universally conserved ribonucleoprotein involved in the co-translational targeting of proteins to membranes. The record is from RNAcentral. Lineage: Bacteria; Bacillati; Bacillota; Bacilli; Caryophanales; Staphylococcaceae.
GGUGGGGAGGUAGCGGUUCCCUGUACUCGAAAUCCGCUUUAUGCGAGACUUAAUUCCUUUGUUGAGGGCGUAUUUUUGUGAAGUCUGCCCGAAGCACGUAGUGUUUGAAGAUUUCGGUCCUAUGCAAUAUGAACCCAUGAACCAUGUCAGGUCCUGACGGAAGCAGCAUUAAGUGGAUCCUCAUAUGUGCCGUAGGGUAGCCGAGAUUUAGCUGUCGACUUCGGUAACGUUUAUGAUAUGCGUUCGAUACAAAGGUGCAUGG